This 219-nucleotide unclassified non-coding RNA is filed under the name uncultured Thelephoraceae. RNAcentral describes it as "sequence contains ITS2". The record is from RNAcentral. Lineage: Eukaryota; Fungi; Basidiomycota; Agaricomycetes; Thelephorales; Thelephoraceae.
ACACCUCAACUCUUCAUGGUUUGCCAUGAUGAGCUUGGAAUUUGGGGGUUUUGCUGGCCUAUAGCCAGCUCCUCUCAAACUUAUCAGCUUGCCAGUGUCUGGCAGCAUCACAGGUGUGAUAACUAUCUAAGCCCGUGGUUGUCUGCCAAGUGACCUUUGGUGACAGAGGUUUGCUGGAGCUCAUAAACGUCUCUCCUCAGUGAAGACAGCUUUUUGACC